UAGCCCAUCAUCCAUAGUUUACCCAAAUUAGUCCAAAAUCUGUUUGUUUUGUUUUCAAAUUCGUCAAAAUCAAAUCCCCCUUUACUUUAAAGUGUUUUAUUAGUCAAAAUCUGUUUUGAUUUGUAUUUUUAAGUGUCUUGAGUCAAGUUAGUGUUGGAAAUGUGCCCUAAAACCAAUCAUGUGAUGAUACUUUACGGACAUUUCACAUGUUAAACUAAUCUAGUUUAAUAUCAAGGGCAAAGAUUAUUGUUUUUAAGCCGUCUCAUAUAAAUGUUAUAUGCUUAAACGAUAAGUCCAAGGAAUAUGUAAUUAGG
RNAcentral lists this long non-coding RNA (314 nucleotides) under Malus domestica (apple). RNAcentral's name for it is "long non-coding RNA (MDOM_LNC015360)". The record is from RNAcentral. Lineage: Eukaryota; Viridiplantae; Streptophyta; Magnoliopsida; Rosales; Rosaceae.